This 537-nucleotide ribosomal RNA is filed under the name uncultured marine chrysophyte. RNAcentral describes it as "bacterial SSU rRNA". It matches the Rfam family "Bacterial small subunit ribosomal RNA", at positions 732 to 1288 of the family's 1533-position model. Lineage: Eukaryota; Chrysophyceae. The record is from RNAcentral.
GGCCAUUACUUACACUCAGAGACGAAAGCUAGGGAGCAAACGGGAUUAGAUACCCCGGUAGUCCUAGCUGUAAACGAUGGAUACUAGAUGUUGCGUACUUUAUAGUAUGCAGUGUCGUAGCUAACGCGUUAAGUAUCCCGCCUGGGAAGUAUGCGCGCAAGCGUGAAACUCAAAGGAAUUGACGGGGGCCCGCACAAGCGGUGGAGCAUGUGGUUUAAUUCGAUGCAACACGAAGAACCUUACCAGGACUUGACAUGAAGAGAAGUUUUUUGAAAGAAAAAUGUGCUACGGCCUUUUACACAGGUGGUGCAUGGCUGUUGUCAGCUCGUGUCGUGAGAUGUUGGGUUAAGUCCCGCAACGAGCGCAACCCUUGUUUCUAGUUGAAUCUCUAGAAAGACUGCCGAUUAUAAAUCGGAGGAAGGUGAGGAUGACGUCAAGUCAUCAUGCCCCUUACGUCCUGGGCUGCACACGUGCUACAAUGGAUGUGACAAAAAGUUGCCAGUUCGCGAGAACGAGCUAAUCUUCCAAACACAUCCC